Molecule: small RNA, 101 nt
Filed under: Salmonella enterica subsp. enterica serovar Muenster
Lineage: Bacteria; Pseudomonadati; Pseudomonadota; Gammaproteobacteria; Enterobacterales; Enterobacteriaceae
Description: partial RtT sRNA
Rfam family: RtT RNA
About the family: This family represents a bacterial cis-regulatory element known as RtT RNA. The exact function of RtT is unknown although it is thought that it may be involved in changing the cellular response in relation to amino acid starvation.
Source: RNAcentral
GAACCUGCCGCAGGUUUGGGUCUCACGCAGUGAGACAACGGAGCCGCUUGCGGCGACGGCCCGAAGGGCGAGCGAAGCGAGUCAUCCUGCACGACCCACCA